GACGAACGCUGGCGGCGUGCCUAACACAUGCAAGUCGAACGGAAAGGCCCUGCUUUUGUGGGGUGCUCGAGUGGCGAACGGGUGUGUCACAUGUGAGUAACCUGCCCUUGACUUUGGGAUAACUUCAGGAAACUGGGGCUAAUACCGGAUAGGAGUUCCUGCUGCAUGGUGGGGGUUGGAAAGUUUCGGCGGUUGGGGAUGGACUCGCGGCUUAUCAGCUUGUUGGUGGGGUAGUGGCUUACCAAGGCCUUGACGGGUAGCCGGCCUGAGAGGGUGACCGGCCACAUUGGGACUGGGAUACGGCCCAGACUCCUACGGGAGGCAGCAGUGGAGAAUAUUGCACAAUGGGCGGAAGCCUGAUGCAGCGACGCCGCGUGCGGGAUGACGGCCUUCGGGUUGGAAACCGCUUUCGCCUGUGACGAAGCGUGAGUGACGGUAAUGGGUAAAGAAGCACCGGCUAACUACGUG
RNAcentral lists this ribosomal RNA (468 nucleotides) under uncultured bacterium. RNAcentral describes it as "partial 16S ribosomal RNA". It matches the Rfam family "Bacterial small subunit ribosomal RNA", at positions 28 to 507 of the family's 1533-position model. The record is from RNAcentral.